CAGAUUGAACGCUGGCGGCAGGCCUAACACAUGCAAGUCGAGCGGUAGCACAGAGAGCUUGCUCUCGGGUGACGAGCGGCGGACGGGUGAGUAAUGUCUGGGAAACUGCCUGAUGGAGGGGGAUAACUACUGGAAACGGUAGCUAAUACCGCAUAAUGUCGCAAGACCAAAGUGGGGGACCUUCGGGCCUCAUGCCAUCAGAUGUGCCCAGAUGGGAUUAGCUAGUAGGUGGGGUAACGGCUCACCUAGGCGACGAUCCCUAGCUGGUCUGAGAGGAUGACCAGCCACACUGGAACUGAGACACGGUCCAGACUCCUACGGGAGGCAGCAGUGGGGAAUAUUGCACAAUGGGCGCAAGCCUGAUGCAGCCAUGCCGCGUGUGUGAAGAAGGCCUUCGGGUUGUAAAGCACUUUCAGCGGGGAGGAAGGCGGUAAGGUUAAUAACCUUGUCGAUUGACGUUACCCGCAGAAGAAGCACCGGCUAACUCCGUGCCAGCAGCCGCGGUAAUACGGAGGGUGCAAGCGUUAAUCGGAAUUACUGGGCGUAAAGCGCACGCAGGCGGUCUGUCAAGUCGGAUGUGAAAUCCCCGGGCUCAACCUGGGAACUGCAUUCGAAACUGGCAGGCUAGAGUCUUGUAGAGGGGGGUAGAAUUCCAGGUGUAGCGGUGAAAUGCGUAGAGAUCUGGAGGAAUACCGGUGGCGAAGGCGGCCCCCUGGACAAAGACUGACGCUCAGGUGCGAAAGCGUGGGGAGCAAACAGGAUUAGAUACCCUGGUAGUCCACGCCGUAAACGAUGUCGAUUUGGAGGUUGUGCCCUUGAGGCGUGGCUUCCGGAGCUAACGCGUUAAAUCGACCGCCUGGGGAGUACGGCCGCAAGGUUAAAACUCAAAUGAAUUGACGGGGGCCCGCACAAGCGGUGGAGCAUGUGGUUUAAUUCGAUGCAACGCGAAGAACCUUACCUGGUCUUGACAUCCACAGAACUUUCCAGAGAUGGAUUGGUGCCUUCGGGAACUGUGAGACAGGUGCUGCAUGGCUGUCGUCAGCUCGUGUUGUGAAAUGUUGGGUUAAGUCCCGCAACGAGCGCAACCCUUAUCCUUUGUUGCCAGCGGUCCGGCCGGGAACUCAAAGGAGACUGCCAGUGAUAAACUGGAGGAAGGUGGGGAUGACGUCAAGUCAUCAUGGCCCUUACGACCAGGGCUACACACGUGCUACAAUGGCAUAUACAAAGAGAAGCGACCUCGCGAGAGCAAGCGGACCUCAUAAAGUAUGUCGUAGUCCGGAUUGGAGUCUGCAACUCGACUCCAUGAAGUCGGAAUCGCUAGUAAUCGUAGAUCAGAAUGCUACGGUGAAUACGUUCCCGGGCCUUGUACACACCGCCCGUCACACCAUGGGAGUGGGUUGCAAAAGAAGUAGGUAGCUUAACCUUCGGGAGGGCGCUUACCACUUUGUGAUUCAUGACUGGGGUGAAGUCGUAACAAGGUAACCGUAGGGGAACCUGCGGUUGGAUCA
RNAcentral lists this ribosomal RNA (1508 nucleotides) under Klebsiella pneumoniae. RNAcentral's name for it is "bacterial SSU rRNA". It matches the Rfam family "Bacterial small subunit ribosomal RNA". The record is from RNAcentral. Lineage: Bacteria; Pseudomonadati; Pseudomonadota; Gammaproteobacteria; Enterobacterales; Enterobacteriaceae.